Molecule: transfer RNA, 84 nt
Filed under: Mustela putorius furo (domestic ferret)
Lineage: Eukaryota; Metazoa; Chordata; Mammalia; Carnivora; Mustelidae
Rfam family: tRNA
About the family: Transfer RNA (tRNA) molecules are approximately 80 nucleotides in length. Their secondary structure includes four short double-helical elements and three loops (D, anti-codon, and T loops).
Source: Rfam by way of RNAcentral
ACCUGGAUGGCUUAGUUGGCUAAGCAUCUGCCUUUGACUCAGGUCGUGGUCCUGGGGUCCUGGGAUCAAACCCCACUUCAGGCU